UACGUAGGUGGCAAGCGUUGUCCGGAUUUAUUGGGUUUAAAGGGUGCGUAGGCGGCCCUAUAAGUCAGUGCUGAAAUAUCCCGGCUUAACCGGGAGGGUGGCAUUGAUACUGUAGGGCUUGAGUAAAGUUGAGGUUGGCGGAAUUGACGGUGUAGCGGUGAAAUGCUUAGAUAUCAGGAGGAACACCGGUGGCGAAGGCGGGUCUCUGGGCCGAUACUGACGCUGAGGAGCGAAAGCGUGGGGAGCGAACAGG
RNAcentral lists this ribosomal RNA (253 nucleotides) under uncultured bacterium. RNAcentral describes it as "partial 16S ribosomal RNA". It matches the Rfam family "Bacterial small subunit ribosomal RNA", at positions 524 to 776 of the family's 1533-position model. The record is from RNAcentral.